GCCGGGCGCGGUGGCGGGCUCCUGUAGUCCCAGCUACCGGGAGGCUGAGGCAGGAGAAUGGCGUGAACCCAGGAGGCGGGCUUGCAGUGAGCUGAGAUCCAGCCACUGCACUCCAGCCUGGGCAACAGAGCCAGACUCCGUCUCAA
Molecule: small RNA, 146 nt
Filed under: Macaca fascicularis (crab-eating macaque)
Lineage: Eukaryota; Metazoa; Chordata; Mammalia; Primates; Cercopithecidae
Description: Metazoan signal recognition particle RNA (ENSMFAG00000049254.1)
Source: Rfam by way of RNAcentral